This is a long non-coding RNA of Acinonyx jubatus (cheetah), 1386 nucleotides long. RefSeq lists it as uncharacterized. The transcript is spliced from 3 exons. Lineage: Eukaryota; Metazoa; Chordata; Mammalia; Carnivora; Felidae. The record is from RefSeq and is a predicted model, not a curated record.
CCUUAAGACACCACACCAGUGCCCCUCCACAAAUAAGGAACAUACUGGAAACUCCACUUCUGGAGGAGUUUCCUUAUCUCACCAGGAUUCACCCAGAAAACCAGAAAUGAUAAGAUAGAAGCCCACGCCAGGCCCACUGCCUCCACCACGGUUCAUCACGUGAUGAUAAGAACACUUUUGAAUAAAAGUGUCCAUACUGUUUCCAGUUUCUGGUUCCGAGUAAUUUUGGACUGUGCCUCAAACCCAAGCCCAAACUGACACCCGAAACACAGAAACUUCUUCAAAGAAAUUAUACAUGGUUUUAAAGAAGCAAAAAUUGUGAAAAAGCACAAAAACUACAAAAAUGUAUUGUUGAAAGGAGUAAAAGUGGUGAAAAGGUACAAAAAUUCCAAAAAUGCAUUGUUUCUUGCGUGUGAAAGAUGCAGUACAAUAGUUAAACAUCAUCAUAAAUGUAGAAGCUUUCUGUCAGCAUUGAAGGUCAACACUGCUGGUCCUGCAAGGAAACUCAGCCUGAACACAUCAGAGGAGAGACUGCAAGUUCUUCAAACCUAAAUCAUGAUAUGCCUGGUUCCAAAGGUCAGGCUGCUUGCAGAUAUGGACCCUUUCCUCUGCUGCCUUAUUGCCACUUACAUUAAAUACAGUAUAUGAUAAGAGUUUAUUAAUACUGUAGUCAACAUCCAUGCAAGCAUAUACAAGGGCCCCCAUGCAGAACAAGGUUGAAAAGAAAGGCUGUAAGAAGAAGGAGAUGAUUGGGGCAGAAGUUAAGAAGGAAAUCAUUGAGAAGCAUGAAUGAGGUGUGCAAGUGGCUGAAAUUGCAAGAUUUUGUAAGCAGUCUGUGUCGAUCAUUUGCAUAAUAUUAAAGAAGAAAGAAGAAAUUAGGAGCCUAGAUGCAAUAAAAGGAGUCAUGAGAAUCUGAAAGCAAUAGCCACGUGUUCUGAAAGAUGUAGAAAAGUUGCUUCUGGUUUGGAUAAGUGAGAAGCAUCUAGCAGGUGAUACUGUGACUGAGAACUUUGUCUGCAAGAAGGCAAAGGCCUUGUACACUGACCUCACAAGUAAACCGCCGGGUACAUCAACAGAAAACGAAGAAGGUUUCAAGGUGAACAGGGGUCUCCGUCACACCAGCCAUGAAGGUUUUCAAAGAGAUCCUGAGGACGGGAAUUGCACACAGCCCCACAGCUGGAGGAAACCAUCAGAAUGCGGGGGACAGUACUUCUGCCGAGUAAGUUUCUUGAUUCCGGAACUGUGGAAUAGACCAAAAAACCAAAGCAUCUGGCAGGAUAUGUGGCAGCUGGAAAAUACACAUAUUUUAAAGCCCUUAAGAUGCCUGUGGUUUAACACAUAUAUAUCAUUAUUCUAACAUUUGCUAAAAUAAAAUGCAAUUACACA